Molecule: long non-coding RNA, 2853 nt
Filed under: Mus musculus (house mouse)
Lineage: Eukaryota; Metazoa; Chordata; Mammalia; Rodentia; Muridae
Description: long non-coding RNA chr16:41085879-41088732
Source: RNAcentral
AAGAUAUAAGAUACAAUUUGCAAAACACAUGAAACUCAAGAAGAACGAAGACCAAAAUGUGGACACUUUGCCAUUUUUAGAAAUGGGGAACAAAACACCCAUGGAAGGAGUUGCAGAGUCAAAGUUUGGAGCUGAGAUGAAAGGAUGGACCAUCUGGAGACUGCCAUACCCGGGGAUCCAUCCCAUAAUCAGCCUCCAAACGGACAGUAGUUUUUAAAGUUGUAAUAUUUCUUCGGCACAUUGGUCAUAGCUUCAAUUCCACGUAACUCACUGAGAGUCACAGAAAACAAAUAGAACAUUAAUGAGAUAUGGCAACAGUUAUACUGCAGUUAUUUAGUGAUUUAACUUACUGAAUUUGCAAUAUUGGUCAUUUCCAAAAUGCUCUCAUUUUCAAUCCAGUGUCAAUACUAUUUCCCAAUACCUUUCAACAUUUCAGAAAUAGUCAGAACCCAGCUGUUAGCUGCCAUUCUGUGCCAAAUCUCUACUGCUCGUCAAUGUUACCUUUUAAAUAUUAACCUAUUCAGGUAUUUUUAUUUAAAACAAUUUACAUCUCCUAGUAAUUUUUUAAAUUAUUGGUAAAAUGCAAUUUUGCAAUUUUGCAUAAUAUCACAUGACUCAGUAGGCAUCUAGCAUAUAUACAUGAGACAUUCUUUCAUUUAUUUUUAUUUUUAUUUUUUUAAGAGGGCCAAGCCAGGGCUUUGCACAUGCCUAACAGACAUUCUACCAUGGUAUUGUCUCUCUAGUCCUUAAGGAUUUUGAAACAAAAAUCUUGGAUGCUGUCUAAGUAUACAUAUGACCAUUGGAGGCUGAACUCAAGCCUGCCAUGCCCCCAUUAAUCCCCUGGAUCUUGUGCAUCUGGGCCCUAUCGUUGACUUGCCUGGCCUGAUUUUGUAGCCAUGGCCUCAGAGAAAAUAGGUUUGGAGGACAAUGCCGAGAAAAAGAUGGCUGUGUGAAAGCCAAGUGGGAUGCAAUUCUCUAAUCUUUUCUGUAACAACCAUGAUAAAAAGAAGAUGAAUAUGAGGAGCAAGGAGAGCUGUUUGCGUGUGAGCUCGAGCUGCUGGUUAAUUUCUUUUCACUGAAAUAGGCUCUGGCAUGAAUCAGACCAUGGCAGACAGAAGUACUUUGUUCCAUGUCAGGAGAAUUAACUAGUUUUUCAUUGUGGACAGAUGGGGAAAAAAAAAAGUAAGAAGAUAAAGAAAGUCGGAGCUUAAGAAAUGAAGUGGACACAGUUAUUCUUUGUACUCUGCUCACACUUUGUGCCAUGGGGGUGAAGCAAAUUGAGGAUAUUAGGUCAUUAAUUUCCAGGUAUUCUAGUGAGGGAAGACUAUAGAAUCUAAUUAUCCUUAUUUUUCAGAUACUGAGAGAAUAGCCUCCUGCAGCCUCCAUACCUCAUUGGUGGUAGAAACCCAAACCUCAGGCCAAUUUGAUAUUUCCUGGAUUUGAGUAGAGAUUUACAGAAGCUGUGCUCCUUAGAGCAAGCAUGUCCUGGACCCCAUAUCGACAGCAGCAGUGGGCUGUGGUCCUUUGUCUACAAGUUGUGUACAGAAUGAUGGCCAGUUCCAGAGACGUGGGGCUAGGAUGUGCCUGCUUGUUUAGAAAAAGAAACAAAUGACAGGGCUUUGCCCAUCAGCACAUUUAUUAACAUCAUGUUGUCAUUUCCUAAAACAAUUAAUUUUUUAGGGAAAAAAUAUCACAAAGAAAAAAGCCACUCUCACAGCCAUGAAUUCCAGACUGAUAAAGUGGUGGCAAGUGACCUUUGGAUGCUGCUGUGGUCAUCAUGCUCUUCCUUGACUUGCUGAAUUAUCUCUCCAUCUUCUAAAAUAGCUUUUGUCAGUACAUAGAGGAAAUGUCAGCAUUAGGAGAGAAGAAAAAGGUAGACUAUGGAAUUUAGUUUUAUUAGGCUCCUAAUGGGAUAAUGAUAAUUUUAAAUCACUUUAAUUGUGGAAGAGAAUUUUCCAUCUUAGAGCGAUGUUGAGAGGGAUACACAGCAUAACUGGAUAGUUUAAAGUUGUAAAAUAUAUAGUAUGUUAAGUCUAGAUAGAUUAAAAAAAUCCCUCACCUUCCAUGUUGAAAAAAAUGAGUAUGUUUGCAUGCAUAUUUAAAAUGAAUAAUGUUUAUCAGAUAUUGUUGUAGGAAGUUCCGUCUUCAAUACCCACAUAUUACACUUUGCACAAUUCUAGAAAUAUAUGCCUGUCUAGUCAGUCUUUUGGGUUACAUACUUACACAAAACACAAACACUUUCCAUACAUGCACCAUUGGCAAAUUAUUCUUUCUGUUUCUCAUAUAUAUGUACAGAAUUAUAUUCCCAUUGUGUUCACCCAGAACUCACCCUGGGAAAACUGCUGGUCACGAGCACUUGACAACGAAGGAUAGACCAGUGGUCUAGUACUGCAUCUGGGCCAGUAUAGAGCAGGCCUUCUGUGAGACCUCAGGAGGGAGAACCAGAGUGGAGGAUCCUCAACACUAAUUACUCUGUAAUCAAAGUAGCAUUAUGCCUUGUAAAAAAGGGUGAGGCAGAGACAGAGCACAAAAGGAACUUUUAUAGAACUAAUAUGAAAUGGGAGAAAAGGGGACUGAAGCUCAACAUGGUAAGUAAGAUGCCUAAAUAUUUUAUUAAAUACUUCUGGGAAGGCUGUGAGAGCAGACACUCAUGCUGGCCUGAACGAUUGCUAAGACUGGCUUGCCUGGAUUCCAAUUAGAGCUGGCUGAAGUCCUGAAGCAGCCUGGCCUAAGGAGGGGACUUAAGCAUCUCCUGGCAUUUGGUGUAACAACAAAGCCAAGCCAACAGGCAUUUAUACAUUUAUUUUUAUAUUCAUGCAUUAUUCAUCAAUUACCAUGUGUUAAACUCAGACC